AAGCGCGAGACGACACUCCAGAAGUGUGCAAAACUGGUGAGAAGAUUAACGUAUUCCGUCUGACUACGCCUUUCACAAUUUUUACUUUUAUGUUUUCACAGUAUAUACGUUGACACGGCGUUCGAUUCUAUGAUGCCAGUACAUGUAACAGUUCCAGACAAUAAGGAAAAAUCGUGUAGCUUAUCUACGAGGUUGUAUCAAGCAAGCAAAGGCGGCCACGCAUGAAAUAUGUCUCGCAAUGAAGAGAGGGAGAAAUUCUUAGAGAGAGUCUCGUUGCAAUAUCUCGCGCGCUGCGACUUCCCCCUUUGCAUGGCAGCUGUUUUUCGGAGGAUGAAGAAGCGGGUUGAAUAAGCGAGAAAGUGAAGCACACUCGUUGUCUCACAAAAUGAAAUUUUAAUGAGAUUCUUGCUUAA
Long non-coding RNA from Eufriesea mexicana, 413 nucleotides. RefSeq lists it as uncharacterized. The transcript has 3 exons. The record is from RefSeq and is a predicted model, not a curated record. Lineage: Eukaryota; Metazoa; Arthropoda; Insecta; Hymenoptera; Apidae.